This 807-nucleotide ribosomal RNA is filed under the name fungal endophyte sp. DM200. RNAcentral describes it as "eukaryotic LSU rRNA". It matches the Rfam family "Eukaryotic large subunit ribosomal RNA", at positions 102 to 936 of the family's 3401-position model. The record is from RNAcentral. Lineage: Eukaryota; Fungi.
GAACAGCUCAAAUUUGAAAUCUGGCCCUCGGGUCCGAGUUGUAAUUUGUAGAGGAUGCUUUUGGUGCGGUGCCUUCCGAGUUCCCUGGAACGGGACGCCUUAGAGGGUGAGAGCCCCGUACGGUUGGACGCCUAGCCUCUGUAAAGCUCCUUCGACGAGUCGAGUAGUUUGGGAAUGCUGCUCUAAAUGGGAGGUAUAUUUCUUCUAAAGCUAAAUACUGGCCAGAGACCGAUAGCGCACAAGUAGAGUGAUCGAAAGAUGAAAAGCACUUUGAAAAGAGGGUUAAAUAGCACGUGAAAUUGUUGAAAGGGAAGCGUUUAUCACCAGACUUUUUCUAGGGGGAUCAUCCGGUGUUCUCACCGGUGCACUUCCCCUAGUUGAGGCCAGCAUCGGUUUUCGGAGGGGGAUAAAAGUUUCGGGAAUGUGACUCCCCCGGGAGUGUUAUAGCCCGUUACAUAAUACCCUUCUGGGGACCGAGGUUCGCGCAUCUGCAAGGAUGCUGGCAUAAUGGUGAUCAACGACCCGUCUUGAAACACGGACCAAGGAGUCGAACAUUUAUGCGAGUGUUUGGGUGUCAAACCCUCACGCGUAAUGAAAGUGAACGGAGGUGAGAGCCCUUACGGGUGCAUCAUCGACCGAUCCUGAUGUCUUCGGAUGGAUUUGAGUAAGAGCAUAACUGUUCGGACCCGAAAGAUGGUGAACUAUGCGUGGAUAGGGUGAAGCCAGGAGAAAUCCUGGUGGAGGCUCGCAGCGGUUCUGACGUGCAAAUCGAUCGUCAAAUCUGCGCAUGGGGGCGAAAGACUAAUC